This 1470-nucleotide ribosomal RNA is filed under the name uncultured Bordetella sp. Its description in RNAcentral is "partial 16S-23S ribosomal RNA intergenic spacer". It matches the Rfam family "Bacterial small subunit ribosomal RNA". The record is from RNAcentral. Lineage: Bacteria; Pseudomonadati; Pseudomonadota; Betaproteobacteria; Burkholderiales; Alcaligenaceae.
GUUUGAUCCCUGGCUCAGAUUGAACGCUGGCAGGAUGCUUUACACAUGCAAGUCGAACGGCGACACGGACUUCGGUCCUGGUGGCGAGUGGCGAACAGGUGAGUAAUGUAUCGGAACGUGCCUAGUAGCGGGGGAUAACUACGCGAAAGCGUAAUAAUACCACAUACGCCCUUCAAGGGAAAGCAGAGACCUUCGGGCCUCGCAUAUUAAACAGCCGAUAUCGGAUUAGCUAGUUGGUGGGGUAACGGCUCACCAAGGCGACGAUCCGUAGCUGGUUUUAAGAGGACGACCAGCCACCUGGGACUGAGACAGCCCAGACUCCUACGGGAGGCAGCAGUGGGGAAUUUUUGGACAAUGGGAAACCUGAUCCAGCCAUCCCGCGUGUGCGAUGAGAGCCUUUGGAUUUGUAAAGCACUUUUGGCAGGAAGAAACGGCACGGGGGAUAAUACCCCGUGCAACUGACGGUACCUGCAGAAUAAGCGCAACUACAACUACGUGCCAGCAGCCGCGGUACGUAGGGUACAAGCGUUAAUCAGAGUCACUGGGCGUAAAGCGUGCGCAGGCGGUUCGGAAGAAGAUGUGAAAUCCCAGAGCUUAACUUUGGAACUGCAUUUUUAACUACCGAGCUAGAGUGUGUCAGAGGAGGUGGAAUUCCCGCGUGUGGCAGUGAAAUGCGUAGAUAUGCGGAGAACACCGAUGGCGAAGGCAGCCUCUGGGAUAACACUGACGCUCAUGCACGAAAGCGUGGGGGCAAACAGGAUUUAGAUACCCUGGUAGUCCACGCCCUAAACGAUGUCAACUGACUGUUGGGGCCUUCCGGGCCUUGGUAGCGCAGCUAACGCGUGAAGUUGACCGCCUGAGAAUUACGGUCGCAAGAUUAAAACUCAAAGGAAUUGACGGGGACCCGCACAAGCGGUGGAUGAUGUGGAUUAAUUCGAUGCAACGCGAAAAACCUUACCUACCCUUGACAUGUCUGGAAUCCCGAAGAGAUUUGGGAGUGCUCGCAAGAGAACCGGAACACAGGUGCUGCAUGGCUGUCGUCAGCUCGUGUCGUGAGAUGUUGGGUUAAGUCCCGCAACGAGCGCAACCCCUUGUCAUUAGUUGCUACGAAAGAGCGCUCUAAUGAGACUGCCGGUGACAAACCGGAGGAAGGUGGGGAUGACGUCAAGUCCUCAUGGCCCUUAUGGGUAGGGCUUCCACACGUCAUACAAUGGUGGGACGAAGAUGUAACGCGAGGGAGCCAAUCCCAGAAACCCGAUCGUAGUCCGGAUCGCAGUCUGCAACUCGACUGCGUGAAGUCGGAAUCGCUAGUAAUCGCGGAUCAGCAUGUCGCGAGUGAAUACGUUCGGGUCUUGUACACACCGCCCGUCACACCAUGGGAGUGGGUUUUACCAAGUAGUUAGCCUAACCGUAAGGAGAGGCGAUUACCACGGUAAAGUUCGCGGCUAGGGUGAAGUCGUAACAAGGUAG